RNAcentral lists this ribosomal RNA (153 nucleotides) under uncultured bacterium. RNAcentral describes it as "partial 16S ribosomal RNA". It matches the Rfam family "Bacterial small subunit ribosomal RNA", at positions 379 to 525 of the family's 1533-position model. The record is from RNAcentral.
GCAGCUGAUCAGCCAUGCCGCGUGCAGUGAGAAGGCCUUCGGGUUGUAAAGCUCUUUUGUACGGGAAGAAAUCUCUCGGGCUAAUACCGUGGGGAGAUGACGGUACCGUAAGAAUAAGCACCGGCUAACUACGUGCCACCAGCCGCUAUAAUA